RNAcentral lists this ribosomal RNA (253 nucleotides) under uncultured bacterium. Its description in RNAcentral is "partial 16S ribosomal RNA". It matches the Rfam family "Bacterial small subunit ribosomal RNA", at positions 524 to 776 of the family's 1533-position model. The record is from RNAcentral.
UACGAAGGGGGCUAGCGUUGCUCGGAAUCACUGGGCGUAAAGGGUGCGUAGGCGGCCUGGUAAGUCUGGCGUGAAAGCCCAGGGCUCAGCCCUGGAAGUGCGCUAGAAACUGCGAGGCUCGAGUGCCGGAGGGGAGAGUGGAAUUCCUGGUGUAGCGGUGAAAUGCGUAGAUAUCUGGAGGAAUACCGGUGGCGAAGGCGGCAUCCUGGACCGGCAUUGACGCUGAGGAGCGAAAGCCAGGGGAGCAAACGGG